Long non-coding RNA from Oreochromis niloticus (Nile tilapia), 1448 nucleotides. RefSeq lists it as uncharacterized. The transcript is spliced from 2 exons. NCBI's taxonomy places the organism in Eukaryota, Metazoa, Chordata, Actinopteri, Cichliformes, Cichlidae. The record is from RefSeq and is a predicted model, not a curated record.
UUUCAGAAAGCCGGUUUAGAAAACUCAGAGUUAAAAAUGAUACUCAGGGUUGAGUAACCCCGAACUGUCCAACUCGGAAUAUUCGGUUUCAGAAAGGCUGAUAACAAUUAGUUCAAUCAACGCGGAGUUGCUUUAACCCCAAGUUAAGCACGCGCAUAAAGCCCUGAUUAGUGGAGCACAGAUUAAGCGAGUCACCAUGGAGACGGAGGGAAAGAAGGCGCGGUCAAUGUAUUUUACAGCGCUUGAGGCCGAAAUUCUGAUGGCAGCAUAUGCCGAUAACAUGCAAAUUUUGCGGAAAAAAAGUAACACAGCCUCAGCUGCAAAAGAAAGGGAGCAUGCAUGGCAAUACAUAGCCGACAGAGUCAAUGCGUGAGUGUUAAUUUAAAAAUUGAUCUAGGGAUUUCCACCCAUUUAACACGUUAUUUUAUUAUAUUUCAUUUUAUUUUAUACAUUUUAUUUUGUGAUGUGAUGUGAGCGCAUGUGCAACCCAACAGGCCCCAAACGUUCCUGGCAGCAAGUAAAAAUGAAAUAUAAAAAAUGUAGAGGAAGAGGGUCCAGCCACUUCUCCAACAAACCUUUCCUCACUCCCUGUAAAGCAGCUGUACAAGACCUGUUUGAUCAAGAAAAUAAAAAAAUGCUUUUUGGAAAUGGAACACUUCAAGCAGCAGAAUGGAAUGUGAGUGCCAUCUAUACAGCCAAUCACGCCUGGGAACCCUGAAAAUAAAUGUAAAAUCUAAGUAGUAGUUCAAGUAUCACCACAUCAUGAAUUAAGUUUUGUUCAUCCUGAUACCUGCAAUUUUGUGGAAUCCCUCUUUGAUAAAUCUUGUGGGUCUAUGACCGGGGAACACCACAAACGAGUACAGGAGACGUUUCAGUGCAACUGUAACAUACCUGACUGCCCGACAGACGGUAGCCUUGGAAACGUGCUCAGCGUCACCAAUAUUAUACAGAAAGCUCCCGUUUGCAAAAAAACGAAGUGCAAUACAAAUAAUAUGUACAGAACUGAGAGAAUGUCCGCGAUGUGUCACAUGCGCAAUAUAAGGCCUGAGGAUGUUAUUCAAAUAAAUUAUCGAUUGUGCUGAAAAACGGUAACGUUCACACAGAAAAUCAUCAGGAAAUGAUAAAAUGUCCAAACACGCUCUAAUCACUCUCUCCCGGUGGAGAGCUCUGCGGAGAAUUUGGGCUUCAACAUCUACUGGCUCUUCAAGUAAGGGGCACCAUGUCUGACACUUCCUACAGUCAGGUUUCCGACAAAGAGGCAGAGAAGUUCAGGGUUAGUUGAAGUAAACCUGCUAGGGGGCAGGUUAGCUUCACGGAGUGUGUCGUCAUAGUAACUCACUCAGAAUUAAUCUAAACUCGCUUUGUGAAACCGAAAACCCAGAGUUUUCGUUAACUCAGGGUAUACUUACUCAGAGUUUGCACUAAACCGGCUUUCUGAAACAGGGCCC